UACAGAGGGGGCAAGCGUUGUUCGGAAUUACUGGGCGUAAAGGGCGCGUAGGCGGCCGCCUAAGUCAGACGUGAAAUCCCUCGGCUCAACCGGGGAACUGCGUCUGAUACUGGGUGGCUUGAAUUCGGGAGAGGGAUGCGGAAUUCCAGGUGUAGCGGUGAAAUGCGUAGAUAUCUGGAGGAACACCGGUGGCGAAGGCGACAUCCUGGACCGGUAUUGACGCUGAGGCGCGAAAGCCAGGGGAGCAAACGGG
Molecule: ribosomal RNA, 253 nt
Filed under: uncultured bacterium
Lineage: Bacteria
Description: partial 16S ribosomal RNA
Rfam family: Bacterial small subunit ribosomal RNA
Source: RNAcentral